RNAcentral lists this long non-coding RNA (1283 nucleotides) under Mytilus galloprovincialis (Mediterranean mussel). The record is from RNAcentral. Lineage: Eukaryota; Metazoa; Mollusca; Bivalvia; Mytilida; Mytilidae.
AGAUUAAAAUUGGUGUAUCCGAAACAAUGAUGGAUGUGAACAACUAUGUUUACCUACACCACACAAUUCAACCAUAUGUCCAUGUGCUGAUUGGUUUGAUCUUAAAGCAGAUGGCACGACAUGUCUUGAUAAAGGUAUACUGUGUGUUUAUCAUUUUCAACUUUAAUUAUUGGUUUCGUCUGAAUCAUUCGUAAUGGUGUGCGAUUUAUUAUAUGAUGUUCCGUCUAAAUUGCUGUAAUCUUUAUGUUGAAAUUACUCUGACGAAAUGAUAUGAGACAUUGAAUUAGAAUAUGAAAAUACAUGAUGAUUUUGGUUAUCAUAUAACUAUCUUUAAUACAUUAUACAUGUACAUACGUUCUUACCUCAAUAUAUAAAAACUCAAAAAAUAACCAAACAAAAACAAAACGUAUGUAUUUAACAUGUUUACCAUUUUUAAACCAUGCGUUCCCUCUUUCUUAUAAAUGAACGGCACACAAUUCUUAAACAAACUAUGAAACCGCAUGAACAAGAGCUCUGUAUUUCCCGCUGUUUUUCUAUUGUAUCCCCGAAUGUAUCAAAUGGCAAUUUAAAACAAAACUGUUCAAUAUUGCAAUGUAUCGUACUUCCUUGACAUGUCGUAGAAUAUGAUUGGUUAAAAGCAGCACAGUGGAUACUGUGUAUAUUUUAUUUCGAUUAGAUGGAAGGGCUAAUUUCAAUACACAAUUAAAAGUUCGGUUACAUUCCUUUAUAAACACAACACGUUAGUGAGGAAAGAUCUUAAAGGUUUCAAACGCCAAAGACACGAUUGAAAUAAUUACAUAUUUAACACAUUGAUAGCUAUCAAAUUGUUGUUGUUUGCAUUUGCUUUUGUAUAGAUUAAUUGAAGUAGAUUAUUAAUACUAAGGAUAUUGCAGACUAUAUCAUUUUGACGACCAAACAGUUUAAAUACCACGUGUUAAACUAGUCGGUAUAAUAGAUGCUUCACAUAGUGUGUUACUGACCCCUUACGAUGUAUUUUUUCGUAAUAGCUUUAGGUCACUAGCACACUAUGUAACUAAUACUUAUUUAUUACGAAUACCAAACUUGUUUUACCUCAUUUGAUAAUAUGAAGAUAUAUCAUACGCAUAUACUGUGUAUAAGGUUCUGGUAAAUGGUUGAUAAAUGCUAAUCUGAAAACCAUUGAAAGGCUGGGCGUUGAGUCAGAGACUGUAGUUUCUAGAACGAGUAGCGCUGUAGAUCUAGAUAUUCAUUAUGAAAAAGGAUUUGUUUAUUGGUCUGAUGUUCAUGAAAAGAAGAUUUCCAGG